UCAUGGCUCAGUGGAAAUGAAUCUGACUAGCAUCCAUGAGGACGCAGAUUCGAUCCCUGGCCUUGCUCAGUGGGUUAAGGAUCCAGCAUUGUCACGAGCUGUGGUGUAGGUUGCGGAAGUGGCUCAGAUUCCGAGUUGCUGUGGCUGUGGCGUAGGAUGGCAGCUGUAGUUCCGAUUCAACCCCUAGCCUGGGAACUUCCAUAUGCUGUAGGUGCGGCCCUAAAGAGAGAAAUAAAAUAAAUUUUAAAAUAUGAUAUACUUUCAGCAUACUUGGAAGAACAGCUUGUUUUUUUAUUUUUUGAAGGGUGGUAGAAAUUAACAUAUGAUUGGGGACUUAGUCUCUACCAGGAAUCAUAAUAUAUGUUAUUACCCUGUUUAAGCCUCACUGUAAUGCUGAGAGGUGUGAGAUAAUGUUCCCAUUUUGUAGAUGAGGAAACUGAGGCUGAGCAAGGUGGAGAGUAACUUGUCGCAGAUCACACCGCUAAGUGACAGAACUGGACUUCGAAAUCAGGCGUGCACGGCUCUGAAAUCCAUCUCCUUUGUACUCUGCCAUCUUACUUCUGUUGACUUAAAACAAUAGCUUGACUUAUGUAGCGUCAAGAAUUAGGAGAUAAAUAUAGGGUAUAUUUACGAUGUUAGGAAAUGAACUCUGUGAGAUGUCUCUAUGUUGAAGUUAAAAACAAGGAAACCUGUUCCAUAUUUGUGAAGACUUAAGGGCAAGGAAUUCACACAAAUGUCAGGGAAACACUAAGUUUAGAGCCCCCUGCCCCGCUCCCGAAACCUUACAGGAGCAACUGUUGCUUGUUACUCAGUUCUGAACACGUGGCUGGCAGUGGAUCUGGAAAGGAUCGAACCCUGCAACCUCAUGGUUCCUAGUCAGAUUUGUUUCCGAUGCACCACAACGGGAACUCUUUGCAAGCAAUUAUUUAUAGAUCCAUUUUUAAAACACAAACUAUUUAGAAAACAGACUUCAUGUAAUCUUUUGAUUCAACUGAAUGUUUAGAUAUUUAUUUUACAGUCUCUUUUCCUUUUCUGACUUAUUUUCAAGUGUACUGAGAUUAUGAAAUUCUUUUAUAUGAGUUUUGUUUUAAUGAAAUGGAAUUCCUGCCUCCAGUGUAAUGACCCAAAUCAGAGCCUAGAAUCACUGGAGAGAAAAUAAUUGCCAGAAUUUUAUUCAAGCUCCUAAGAGAUCCUGCUAGUUGCCAAAAUUUUGUUCAACAGUCUAAAGAAAUUGUUUUGGUGUUUUUUCCUUUUGGCAACGUAGUGGAAUCUCUUUGCCACUUGAUUUCUAACUAUUCUCUUUACCCAACUUUUCCAUUCUGUUAUAUAUUAUUUCUCAUAUUUUGUAUGUAUUUUGUAUUUUGUACUCUCUUGUGUUUUAAAGAUUUUUUUUUUUUCCUCCUUAGUUAGUUUUUGGCACUAUAAUGCAGAUAUUGUUUACCAAAAAAAGGCCAGUAAGGUAGAAAAAUAUUUCUUGUUGAUAAUAAUGCUGACGGAUAAUUGCUGUCUUGCUUACAUCCUAUUAUCUCUUAAAUCAAAAAUUCAUAAAUAAUCAAAUUAAGAAUAAUUGAAGGUUGGGAGUUCCCAUUGUGGCUGAGCAGAAAUGAACCUGACUAAUAUCUGUGAGGAUAUGGGUUCGAUCCUGACCCCACUCAGUGGGUUAAGGAUCUGGCAUUGCCAUGAGCUGCAGCAUAGGUCACACAUGUGGCAUUGCUGUGGCUAUGGCAUGCGUAGGCUGGCAGCUUUAGCUCUGAUUUGACCCUAGCCUGGGAACCUAAAAAAAAAAAAAAAAAGAGUAAUUGAAGGUUGUAGUUCCCAGUGUGGCGCAGUAGGUUAAGAAUCUGACUGCAGUGGCUCUGGUCACUGU
Molecule: long non-coding RNA, 1867 nt
Filed under: Sus scrofa (pig)
Lineage: Eukaryota; Metazoa; Chordata; Mammalia; Artiodactyla; Suidae
Description: lncRNA (ENSSSCG00000055896.1)
Source: RNAcentral